This 200-nucleotide unclassified non-coding RNA is filed under the name soil metagenome. RNAcentral's name for it is "partial contains internal transcribed spacer 2 and large subunit ribosomal RNA". The record is from RNAcentral.
GCGUCAUUUCAACCAUCAAGCCUCGCUUGGUAUUGGGCUCUCGUCCGUCCGGACGAGCCUGCAACCCAGUGGCGGUUCCCUGUGGAUUCCAGCGUUGUAAAUCAAUCGCGCUGUGGAUAUCUCCGGGUUGCAACCAGCCAAAUCACCUCAAUUUUUACUCGGUUGACCUCGGAUCAGGUAGGGAUACCCGCUGAACUUAA